CACAUGUUUCUGUGAACAAACCUUCUUAGAGUGGCUGCUGAUGCCACUGUCUAUAAAGAGCCAUACAUACAGGUCUCAUAUGGGUGUCAUUGAAACCAAAACCAAUUAAGAAACAUCUGCAGACAACUGAAUGCUGUCAAGUGUGAACAAUGAAAUUUCUUCCAAGAGAAGAGAGCGAGCAGAGCACACUCUCAACAAGUCUGGGAAAGCUUCAUCCAAACAAAAGCCCUGUUUUUUGUCUUCACUGUAGCUUCCAGCAUCUCGCAACUUGGCUCUGAAGAGCACUGUGAACCAAGGCAGAGUUGCCCCAGUCUUUGCAAUCAGCAACACUAAUUAAGUUUAGCCCACUGACAGCUAGCCUGGUUAAAAUAUUUCAUCAAUGUAGGAGCAUGAAGCAAUGAUUGCUUGCUUAUGAAGAUAUUUUAGUUUAAACUGUUUUUUUUUUGUUGUUUUUUUUUUUUUAAAAAAAAAAAAAAAAUUCUCACUAUCUCACUAGAGAGCCUCAUAAAGGUUAUAUGAAGACAUUUUCCCUAUCUCUAACCUAAUUUAAUUUCUUUUAUGCUCAAUUUCAAGUCACCGGGAUUGCCAUGUUUCUUUAUGGGACAAUUAUAAUAACCCCAUAAGGUUUUAUUGCCUUAAUGUACAGGUAUAUAUUCUCAACACUAUAGUUUAAUAUGUAUUUUUAAAUAACUAAUAUGUAAUAUAGAUGGGCAUGUGGUGAAGGAGAGAAAUUGGACAUCAGGAAGAUCUCUGAGGGAAAAGUAUCUGGUCUGCAUUCCUGGCCUCCUGGUCACAGUGGCCAAGAUGGGUUAGACCUGAAAAAAUUGGUAGCGCCAAUUUCCCAGCUUGUACCUACUGGCAGAACAGACUUUAACAGGGUGUUGGAAACCAGCUAUAUGAGAAUUUUAUGAGGGAAAGUAGUGGGCUGUUUUUUUGUGUUGGCAAGUGUGAAGAUAAGAAAGUCAGUUUGCCUUUCUUUAUGAAGGAUGAUACUCACAAAAUCCUUAUGCUGUUGGGAAUUGUCACUUGACAGAAAAUAAAAGCAAACCCCACCAUUGCCUUGGUAAGGCCUCAGAGGUUAAUGCUGCCAGUACCUGUAAGCACUACGAAUGCAUGCAACCCAGCUCUGAAGCCCCGAGCUUUGCACUGCUGCUGCACUGGCUGUCACCACACAGGGGUCUGCACAGACUGUCCAAAUGCAGUCCUGAGUGAGUUAUUUUGCAUCAGACUGUGUAAAAACCCCAUUGUUACCCAUCACUUCACAUACACGUGCUCUGGGUGCAGGGCAGCUCCAGGAACCACAGCGUGGACCUGCCUGGAGGGAGCUGAGCAUUGCGGAGUCUGUGGCUUCACAGCGAACGUGCUGCCCUUCCUUUUUUCUGGGCAGAAAUAGGAAGCCUUUGCUAUUCUGUUUACAAAUGCAAUGUUUUCCUUUUCUGUAUCACAAAAGAGCAGAUACGGACAUGACAGCCCCGUGCUCCACAGGCUUAUUUUUCCUCAGGCAGGUGCUACCUGAGCUCUUGAUCCCACCGGUAUGGCCGCAAAAGGUGUCAUUAAUUACAGUAGAAAACAACAACAACAACAGUAGCAAUUACUUACAGAUAAUGGAAGAUGCAGGAAGACAACUGCCACAGAUGAAGCAACUACCUGGCUGGGUAGCUCAGAUAUUUUACAGCACUUCCCAGGAGGGAAAAAGCCUUUAACUGCACUGCUGAUUGCCUUGGGCAAGAUCAAUGAGAGGCAGAAGGCCUAUCUCUGGGAGCCUAAAUUGACAGGAGCACUAAAUUUGUCACUGAGGCCUCUGACUGUUUUUCAGAGAAAGAAAAUUCAGAUCAAUGCAGCAAGAACUGUUUGCACAGCAGAUUUUUUCACAUGGGGUAUCGAGACACUACAAAAUUUGUGCAAUACCAUCUCGAAACAGCACGGAAUAAUGUUUAUGGAAUUCCAUAAGCAUGGGAUUAUGUGUAUGAACCAAGCAGAUGCUAAAGCAUAAAAUUAAUAACCCAGUCAAUUUAUUAACAGUCAGUAUUUUUGCAUUUCCCCCCUUUCUUUUUGCCUUGUAGCUAUGGGAAUUGCCCAUCCAUAAUAGGCAUUCAUUUUAAUAAAAAAUUCUUCCUUUUCUGUUCUA
Molecule: long non-coding RNA, 2128 nt
Organism: Oxyura jamaicensis (ruddy duck)
Lineage: Eukaryota; Metazoa; Chordata; Aves; Anseriformes; Anatidae
Exons: 2
Source: RefSeq, a predicted model, not a curated record